GCAGCAUCCUCUGGCAUUUCUCUCCCUCUUUCUGCCUUUCCCUGUCCCUCUUUCUUCCGCCCUCUUAAGGCCUCGACAUGAUUUAGUUCGAAGUCGGCUCGGCGAACCGAACAAGUGUGUUCGCAUACUCCCUUAAAAGACCUUCGCUUGGAAAACCUGAAAAAAAGCGGCGAUAAUACCAGUAUUUUUCAAUGAAAGAAUGUGCAAGAAAACGAGUCGUCUCUCAUUGAAUGACAACAAAGACUUAAUUGAAGAAUCUCUACUGUUGACCAAUCACCGACGAAGGGUCGUCGACUUCGGCUACCGACUUCGGCCCGCCUCAAUCGUUUGGCGUGUGCGCCCGAACAGCCCGAAAAAACCCUUAACGAAGUCCAAAAUUAACAAAAUUCUCACAAAAUGGCGCCAUAAUAUAAGCACAAACAGUUCCAAACUGUUUCAGCUGGGAAGCAUGCGGACGUAUUUCUUCCUUCCCUCUCUCUUUCCCCCUUUUCUUCCCGUGUUGCUCGGUUGUGUGCAUUUCCCUCACUCGCCCUCUUAUCUUGACCUUGAUGACUAUCCCGCUGUAUCCUUGAUCCUCCCCGACCCUGCCCCUCUGUACUUCCUGAUUUACUCUUCCGUGUGCACCGGAAUGUUCUCCUGAACAAUACGACAGCAGCAGCAACAGGGUGAGCCAGCGCCUCCAUCGAGCAGAGCAGCCGUCGCUAUUAACCCCGAAAGUGUGCUGGGAACCCCUGCAGAGAAGGCUCUAUUUGAAUGGAAAUAGGAGGGUUGAUCGGAUCUGCAUGAGAACCCCUACCUCUGCUGGAUGUCUCUCCAGUGUGUGAUGGGCUGCGCUGUCUCUCUGCCUGCAGUAGGGAGAGGGAUACUGCUGUGAGAAGUACCAGACUAAUCACAUGAAAAGUGGGUAAAAGAUAAUCGCUGAAUACAAGGUGUAGAUGGAAGCCCUUAUCCACUGAUGGAAAUGUAUGGGGGGGGGUUAUCUGAUCCUAGAUCUGUGGUAAGGGGCCCCCGCCACCACAUAACUUGCGCACCUCAGGGUUGGUGAGGUUGGGGAAUGCUGUGUUGUGUAUGUACUGUAUGGAUACAACACUCCGUUCACUGCUGAAUUGCUGUGCCGCCGGUUGCCAUGGGAACCAGGGGCACACAGACAGAAAGAGUUAUGUAGGCGUGAGGCGGUGAGCAGUCAGAACACACAACCUGAGCGAUAAAUAAAAGAUGUCCCAUCGUCCACCCCGCAAUAUGUCAAUCAAUCACAAAGGUGUCCUUGUCACGACAGGCAGGGUAAGAGGGACCUAACAUGCAUGCACACACACACA
This 1316-nucleotide long non-coding RNA is filed under the name Salmo salar (Atlantic salmon). Its description in RNAcentral is "lncRNA (ENSSSAG00000104874.1)". The record is from RNAcentral. Lineage: Eukaryota; Metazoa; Chordata; Actinopteri; Salmoniformes; Salmonidae.